RNAcentral lists this long non-coding RNA (564 nucleotides) under Cricetulus griseus (Chinese hamster). Its description in RNAcentral is "lncRNA (ENSCGRG00015032787.1)". Lineage: Eukaryota; Metazoa; Chordata; Mammalia; Rodentia; Cricetidae. The record is from RNAcentral.
UCACGAUGCAUGUGAAGAUAGAGAAGAGCUAGGUCCUUGCUUAAAAAUGGGCACUGCUGAGAACUGUUUUCUGCUCCCCAGAGUUGGUGGAAUUUUAUUGCUGUGAAGAGACAUUGUGACCAUGGCAACUCUUAUAAGGAUAACAUUUAAUUAAGGGCCUUGCUUAUAGUUUCAGAGGUUCAAUCCAUUAUCAUCAUGGUGCGAAGCUUGGUGGCAUGCAGGCAGAUAUUCUGGAGGAACUAAGAGUCCUACAGCUUGCACGCAACAGGAAGUUGACUGAGGCAUCUGUAUCCUGAACAUAGGAAAUAUCAAAGCCCACCCCCUACAGUGACCCACUUCCUAUAACAAAGCCAUACCUCCUAAUAGUGCCACUCCCUGUGAGAUUAUGGGGGCCAAUUACAUUUAAAUUACCACACUAAGCCUCUCAGAGACCCCUCAUUAAGCUGAAAGGACUGAAAAGCUAACUUCACACAUGCUUCUCUGCCCACUAAAAAUUAUCAUCAAGAUGAAACCUCACAGAUUCUCAAAGAAGGAACAGGAAAUAUUCACAGAUAUGGUCUAGCA